RNAcentral lists this ribosomal RNA (253 nucleotides) under uncultured bacterium. RNAcentral's name for it is "partial 16S ribosomal RNA". It matches the Rfam family "Bacterial small subunit ribosomal RNA", at positions 524 to 776 of the family's 1533-position model. The record is from RNAcentral.
UACGAAGGGGGCUAGCGUUGCUCGGAAUCACUGGGCGUAAAGCGCACGUAGGCGGAUUCUUAAGUCGGUGGUGAAAUCCUGGAGCUCAACUCCAGAACUGCCUUCGAUACUGAGAGUCUUGAGUCCGGGAGAGGUGAGUGGAACUGCGAGUGUAGAGGUGAAAUUCGUAGAUAUUCGCAAGAACACCGGUGGCGAAGGCGGCAUUCUGGACCAUUACUGACGCUGAGGAGCGAAAGCCAGGGGAGCAAACGGG